AAAUUUCAUAUGCUAUACCAUAAGUAGAUGGGAAGACUGCGCCCCUUUUUGUUAAAAUCCGAUUAACAGUUUACAGUUACAAAAAGAAGAAAACCAGGCUUGAGCUUCCUCCUUGAUUUUCUCUCCCUAGAUUCCCUCGUUAUUUUCGGCCUUUCUGCUUCUUUUAAUACAGCAACGAGAAGUGGCCGCAAAUUGAGCCGCGGAUGGACCUUAACGACGACGUUUUGUCCUCCUACAGUCACCACCACCACGACGAUGAUUCCUCCGUCCGUACGCCUAAAAUCUUCGACCGCUACUUCUCCUCAUCGUCGUCGUCCUCAGACGACGAAUCUCAACUUUCCAAUUCUUCCAUGGAAGCCACUAGCAAACGCCUUGAUUACAUGAUCCAAUUCUUGGACCGCAAGCUCUCCUGUCCUUCAAACAGUAAUUACACUAAUAACAAUGCCAAUUCUGCAGAUAAUGACACCAAUAAUUCUAAAAGAAACAAGUCUUCGGCUUUGUCGGAGUUCAUAGGGAAAGGAGGCGGAACCGGAAUUUUUAGACUUCCUGUUCGAGGAGCCGUCCACACCGGCCGCCCACCCAGCCUUGAGGUUCAACCCCAUCCGUUAAGGGAAUCCCAAAUCGGUGGUUCUUUGAGAACCAUCACCACCACGGAGACUCAGUUAUGGACUGGGAGUGAUAACGGGGGCGUUCAGGUAUGGCAAUUCAAGGAUUUAUACGGAGGAUGCGGGGACUCCGCGCCAUAUAGGGAGUCUGUGGCUGUCGGAUCGGGGGUAACGUGUAUGGUUGGGGAUGAGGGAAGCAGAGUGGUUUGGAGCGGGCAUAGGGAUGGGAGGGUUAGGUGUUGGAAGAUGGAUUUCAGUUCGGAUGGAUUCAGGGAAGUCGUGUCUUGGGUUGCUCAUCGUGGGCCUAUUCUGUCCAUGGUCAUCACUAGAUAUGGGGAUUUAUGGUCAGGCUCAGAAGGUGGUGCCAUCAAGAUAUGGCCAUGGGAAGCUAUUGAGAAAUCAUUUUCUUUUACAGAGGAGGAGAGACACAUGGCUUCCUUGUUAGUAGAGAGGUCAUAUAUCGACCCUAGAAGCCAAGUCACUAUAAAUGGCUUCUGCAAUGUUUUAACUUCUGAUAUUAGAUACUUGCUAUCUGAUAAUUCUAGAGCAAAAGUAUGGAGUGCUGGUUAUUUGUCAUUUGCAUUGUGGUAUGUCUUCAAUCUAGUUACACUACUUUAAGCUUAAUAAUUUGUUACUAUUGCAAUGGUCGUUGGAAGAUUUAUACUUCAUACUUUUCAGAAUAAUUGCAAAUAUCUAACUAUAAACUGUUACAAGUUUGUCUAAUGUCAUAACAACUCACCAUUUUCUGUAGGUCAUCUAUGGGAAUUUUAGCCUGGGGGCAUAUAGCGAAUGCUUUGUUAAUUAAAUUGUGAUAUGAUCUUUUAAAAUCUACAUUUUAUAUCUGAAACAAGUGAACAUUUCAUAUUCAAGCAGUAUUAUGUCUUGGAUGGAAGAAUAUUAAGAUCUAUAGUAUAUCCUAAUUGCUACCCACUUAAUAGUGAAACCAAAAAUAAUAAGAAGAAAAUUUACCGUAUUAAAGUCUUUUACUCACACAAAAUAUCAGCCAAGGACCCUUGAACUUGCAUUCCUAAUUGAUUAGUAAUUAACAUGUCAGCAAGCAUUUCAGCUAAGCAUGAAAUUUAUCAAGUGCCCUUUCUGGGCCAUGUACUUUUGUGUUGUGGGUAAUGCAAUUCCUGCAAUUUGAUAUCUGAGCUAAAUUACCAUUCUUUGACAAGAAAAUGACAAUUGAAACAAAUUAAAACACCUAAUAUGCAUUUUGGUUUCGUCCUUAUUAAUCUUAAUGAACAGGAUCCCUUUCACCCUUGCCUUUCUAGGUAGUUAGGAUGGAAGAAAGCAUAAGGGCUUUCAAGAGAAGGUAAAAUCCUUUCCCUGUUCUUAUAGAUAGUUGGAUUAAAACUAUUACAGGGUAAAAUACUUUGUUGAUGUUCCUGCAGUAUUAUAUUUUGUAGUUUUCCUAUCUUUUAUGACUUUGUUUUUGUACUUGGUUUGCACUCUCUUGGUGCCCUUGAUGAAUUCUCCAUAUUCUCAAGAAACAAAAGAAGGAUGGGGCUAUGCUGAGAGUUCUAUUUUACAGGGAUGCUCACACGCGGGAGUUGCUGUAAGUAUUCAAUAUGGAUGGUCAGAUUGAAAGGAUGGACAUGUCAUUAGGACAGGAUAUUACAUUUGAAGGUGAGAUCAAGAUGAAAGUCGUUGCUGGUCCAAAGAAAGAGAAGAUUCAAAGUUCAUUUGGUUUCUUGCAACGUUCAUGUAAUGCUAUAAUGGGAGCAGCUGAUGCUGUUCGUCGAGUUGCUGCAAAAGGUGGAUUUGGAGAUGAUAACCGGAGAACUGAGGCAUUGAUUAUAACCAUUGAUGGAAUGAUUUGGACUGAUUGUGCAAAUGGCUUACUUGUGCUGUGGGAAGGAAAUGGCAAUCGUUUGCAAGAUUUCCAGUACCAUUCUUUUGCUGUUCAAUGAUUUUGUACAUUUGGGUUGCGAAUAUGGGUGGGUUAUGCUAGUGGUACCAUCCAGGUAUUGGACUUGGAGGGUAACUUGCUUGGAGGUUGGGUGGCUCACAGCAGUCCUGUCAUAAAAAUGGCUGUUGGGGCUGGUUACAUUUUCACCUUAGCUAAUCAUGGUGGUAUACGUGGAUGGAGUGUCUUGUCUCCUGGACCUCAUGACAACAUGUUGCGUUCAGAACUAGCUGGCAAAGAAUUCUUGUAUACAAGGAUAGAGAACCUGAAAAUAUUAGCUGGUACAUGGAAUGUAGCUCAAGGAAGAGCAUCUUGUGACUCGCUUGUUUCCUGGUUCGGUUCUGCAGCUGGGGAUGUUGGUAUUGUUGUUGUUGGGUUGCAAGAAGUUGGAAUGGGUGCCGGUGUUCUAGCAAUUUCUGCAGCAAAAGAAACCGUAUGAUUCUUGCAUGGAUGUCACUGAUAGUGAUCACAAGCCUAUGCGAUGCAUAUUUAAUGUUGAUAUUGCACGAGUUGAUGAGUCAGUUGGGAGAUGAGUUUGGGGACAUAAUGAAAUCAAAUGAGGAAAUUAGACACAUGCUUGAAGAACAAUGCAAGAUUCCAGAAACUAUUGUCAGCACAAACAAUAUAAUCCUUCAAAACCACGAUACAACCAUUUUACGUAUCAUAAAUAAAUGUGGGAAAAGUAAUGCUCUGUUUGAAAUUAUCUGUGAAGGUCAAUCUACAAUUAAUGAAGAUGGACAAGCAUCAGAUCGUCAUCCAAGGGGUUCCUUUGGCUUUCCACAAUGGCUUGAGGUCAUUCCAGUAGCUGGUGUAAUAAAACCAGAUCAUAUUGCCGAGGUAUCUCUUCAUGCUGAGGAUUUCCCUACCCUUGAAGAGUUUGUUGAUGGCGUCCGUCAAAAUUCAUGGUGUGAAGAUUCCAGAGACAACGAAGUUAUGCUGGUGCUCAAAGUGCAAGGUACAAACAACACAACUGACUCUAAGAAAUCAUCGCAUCAGUGUGCGCCACUGCUGUUCAUUGCAGGCAGUAAGGAUUUAUCCAAAAUCCAAUCACUCUAGGCAAGUCCAAGGAAAUCUUCUCCGCCGGUCUCAUUAUCAACAACUCAGUAGUUCCUAUGACGUGGUUGACCACCUACGUAAUUUGCAUAGUCCUUGAUUAAAAAAUGACUUGCAUUGGUUGGAUGGCAAACACUUUCUGAAAUAUUGUAUUAUCCCUCCUCAACCAUAGGGAUUCCUUAUAUCUAAAUGGACUGUUCAACAAGCAUCUUGAUGUAAGAGAGGAGCCAUGUUGUGCUGUUUGCUUUUACGAGUUCAAUCUUCAUUCAUAAAUUUUCAUUUAGUUUAUGUAGAGUCGUUAUUUAUGCACAUGAGCAGUUUGUGAAGCGAGAUCGAGUCCAACUUGUUUGUAAAUGUACAUAAAAAAGGAUUGUAGCAUGCAGAAAAGGAUUGUAGCAUGCAGCUUUUCUUUUCCCCUUUGAAGGGUGCUUUUAGGCUUUAGCCUUUGUUUUCCGUUUAAAGCACCCAAUAUACUGGGCAGAGUCCAGAAGUUGAUGCUUAUAGAUAUUUAAGCCUUUUUCUUUUAAGACAAAUAAGGAAAAGCUAUUCCGCUAAUGUCAUGAAGAAGAGCUCGAAUCAAUCCUGGAGAAGGGCUGUGUGCAUCAGUUGAAAAUGAAAAGCCAAAUAAGCUAAUUAACUGGAAGUGAAGGUUAUGUAUUAUUUUUUUUUUCUUUGUUUUAAUUUGUUGCUGCUUGUGUAACGUUUAUUUCCGUUCCUUUCUACAGCGAUGCAAUUUGUUUGUAUGUGAAAACUUUAGACUAUUCUGUCUCUUUCUGGAGCUCUGCAAGGGUAUCAUGCUUUUCUCCAUCAAAUUUAGGGUUCUGCAGCAACUGAGGAAGAAUGGUAGGGUUAAUCUGUUGAUUGAUUAGUUGGAAGUUGUUAUUGAGCUGGCCAAUGAUUGUUCAAUUAGAAUGAAUAUAAAUAGAUUUGAGUUGUAAACAUUAGAGAAUAAUCGAUGAAUUGAACAUUUACAUUCUUCUCUUUUCCUCUCAAAUUCUGUUUCUAUCUUCUUUCUCCCUCUCUAUCUCUUCCUCUCUCAUUUUCUUCCUCUUUUCCUUCAAUUUCCUUCUCACCAAACAGGAAUUAGGACCAAGGCCCAAAUACUUUGAAUAAUUCAAAACUUCAAAUCUCCAUUCCGCAUAUCCAUGUACUCCCAAAUUCUAAUAUGAGGGUUCAUGUUAAAUUCAGUCCAUUGAAUUUACCAAGUCAAAUCAAAUUAGAGAAAUUCCGCUAACUAUCAAAAGGGUAAUCCAUACUUACAGAUCAUAAACACUGUUGUUGGUGUCCAUAAUUCGAGGGUAGCUCCCCAUAGGAAGCAUUUUUAUUCGAUAUCUGAAAAAUUAACAAAUUAAGGGUACAUCAACAGAUAAAUAUUAUUGAUGAUUUGAGAGUAUAACCUUGACUCAGAGAUACAAACAACCCCCUUUGCUUUAAGAACCAAAAAGCUAAUCCUUUCAUCAUAAAGAAGCUCAUGUGAAGAAAAACAGGGACUUGAACAAGAGUGAAAAAAUUGUGCACCAUACCUAGAUAUCAAUUUUUUUUUUGGCAUAUUUAUGCUUGAUAUCAAGAAGGCUCAUAAGAAAUUACUUAUAUCAACAA
This 5166-nucleotide unclassified non-coding RNA is filed under the name Hevea brasiliensis (rubber tree). The record is from RNAcentral. Lineage: Eukaryota; Viridiplantae; Streptophyta; Magnoliopsida; Malpighiales; Euphorbiaceae.